Candidatus Nomurabacteria bacterium CG1_02_43_90 is the source of this 384-nucleotide non-coding RNA. Lineage: Bacteria; Candidatus Nomuraibacteriota. The record is from Rfam.
UGUCGGCUCAUCUUAUCCUGGAGGUGGAGAAGCUUCCAAGGGUUUGGCUGUUCGCCAAUUAAAAAGAUACGUGAGCUGGGUUCAAACCGUCGUGAGACAGGUUGGUCUCCUAUCUUCUGCAGGCGUUGAAUUUUGAGGGGAUUUGCUCCUAGUACGAGAGGACCGGAGUGAACUGACCUCUGGUGUGGCUGCUGUCCUGCCAAGGGCACCGCAGCGUAGCUAUGUCGGGAAUGGAUAACCUCUGAAAGCAUCUAAGAGGGAAACCAACCCCAAGAUCAGAAUUCGUUUGAGGCCCGUAAGAGAUGAUUACGUUGAUAGGCUCUAGGUGUAAGGCAAGUAAUUGCUUCAGCCGAGGAGUACUAAUACGCCGAUUCUUGUUGGGAA